UCCGGCUCUGGCCUGGCGCAGCUUGCCGCCGGCCUCACCAAGCGCCUCGCGGAAGAAAACCCCAGGACCAACCUCGUCUUCUCGCCGCUGUCCAUCUACACAGCUCUGUCGCUCCUGGCCGCCGGCGCCAGGGACACCACGCUGGACGAGAUGCUCCGCAUCCUUGGCGCGCGGUCGUGUGGCGAGCUCGAGAGCUUCGUGUCCCGCAUGGCGGCGGACGCGCUCCAGGACAGGUCCGCCUCAGGCGGUCCAAGUGUGGCGUUCGCAUGCGGCGUGUGGAGCGACAUUUCGCGGCCGCUGAAGCCGGCCUUCCGCGAGGCCGUCGUGGGCACGUACAAGGCCGAGGCGAGCACCGUUAACUUCCGCGGCGCACCGGAGGAAGCGCGUGGCCAGAUCAACGCGUGGGCGGCUCAGACAACUCGGGUCGUCCUCGGCAACGCCGUGUACUUUAAGGGCAAGUGGGAGGACCAGCCGUUCGACAGGAGGCACACCAUGCACGAACCCUUCUACCGGCUCGACCGCAGCCAGGUCGACGUGCCCUUCAUGCAGAGUACGAUGUCGCAGUUCGUCGCUGUGCACGACGGGUUCAAGGUACUCAAACUCCGGUACAAAUGUGCUGCUCCGUCGGUGUUCUCCGGCUCCAAUCGUACCGGGUACACGCAGUUCUCCAUGUGCAUAUUUCUCCCGGACGCCCAUGACGGCCUGUGGGGGCUGCUGGACACGAUCGCGUCCCGACCUGGGUUCCUGCACGACCACCUGCCGGAGCAGCAAAUCGCCCUCCGCGAGUUCCGGAUGCCAAAGUUCAAGCUGUCCUUCCAUAGCAGCAUCGUCGCCGUGCUCAAGAAGCUAGGGCUUGAGCUGCCGUUCUGUGAGCGUGGCAACCUAUCUGACAUGGUGGAGGACGAUGGCUCUGGCAUGCCGAUAGUGGUGGGGGAUGUCAUCCACAAGGCUGUUGUCGAGGUAAACGAGGAAGGGACUGAAGCCGCCGCUGUCAUGGAGGAGGCGACCGGAGCUGUUGUCUUCGCGGGGCACGUCCUCGACCCAUCCAAGGAGUAA
This 1056-nucleotide ribosomal RNA is filed under the name Triticum aestivum (bread wheat). RNAcentral's name for it is "partial small subunit ribosomal RNA". Lineage: Eukaryota; Viridiplantae; Streptophyta; Magnoliopsida; Poales; Poaceae. The record is from RNAcentral.